UACGUAGGUGACCAGCGUUGUCCGGAUUUACUGGGCGUAAAGAGCGCGCAGGCGGUCGUUCAAGUCGAGUGUGAAAGCCCCCGGCUCAACUGGGGAGGGUCAUUCGAUACUGAUCGACUCGAAGGCAGGAGAGGGAAGCGGAAUUCCCGGUGUAGUGGUGAAAUGCGUAGAGAUGUGGAGGAAUACCGAUGGCGAAGGCAGCCCCCUGGGACGUGACUGACGCUCAAGCACGAAAGCGUGGGGAGCAAACAGG
Molecule: ribosomal RNA, 253 nt
Filed under: uncultured bacterium
Lineage: Bacteria
Description: partial 16S ribosomal RNA
Rfam family: Bacterial small subunit ribosomal RNA
Source: RNAcentral